RNAcentral lists this transfer RNA (83 nucleotides) under Sphingomonas sp. RNAcentral's name for it is "tRNA-Leu". It matches the Rfam family "tRNA". From Rfam's summary of the family: Transfer RNA (tRNA) molecules are approximately 80 nucleotides in length. Their secondary structure includes four short double-helical elements and three loops (D, anti-codon, and T loops). Further hydrogen bonds mediate the characteristic L-shaped molecular structure. tRNAs have two regions of fundamental functional importance: the anti-codon, which is responsible for specific mRNA codon recognition, and the 3' end, to which the tRNAs corresponding amino acid is attached (by aminoacyl-tRNA synthetases). tRNAs cope with the degeneracy of the genetic code in two manners: having more than one tRNA (with a specific anti-codon) for a particular amino acid; and 'wobble' base-pairing, i.e. permitting non-standard base-pairing at the 3rd anti-codon position. RNAcentral also lists the same sequence under 3 other names. The record is from RNAcentral. Lineage: Bacteria; Pseudomonadati; Pseudomonadota; Alphaproteobacteria; Sphingomonadales; Sphingomonadaceae.
GCGGCUAUGGCGAAAUUGGUAGACGCGACGGUUUUAGGUACCGUUGGGCAACCGUGGGGGUUCGAGUCCCUCUAGCCGCACCA